Molecule: ribosomal RNA, 1483 nt
Filed under: Streptomyces sp.
Lineage: Bacteria; Bacillati; Actinomycetota; Actinomycetes; Kitasatosporales; Streptomycetaceae
Description: bacterial SSU rRNA
Rfam family: Bacterial small subunit ribosomal RNA
Source: RNAcentral
GAGUUUGAUCCUGGCUCAGGACGAACGCUGGCGGCGUGCUUAACACAUGCAAGUCGAACGAUGAACCACUUUGGUGGGGAUUAGUGGCGAACGGGUGAGUAACACGUGGGCAAUCUGCCCUUCACUCUGGGACAAGCCCUGGAAACGGGGUCUAAUACCGGAUAUCACUUCUGCAGGCAUCUGCGGUGGUUGAAAGCUCCGGCGGUGAAGGAUGAGCCCGCGGCCUAUCAGCUUGUUGGUGAGGUAACGGCUCACCAAGGCGACGACGGGUAGCCGGCCUGAGAGGGCGACCGGCCACACUGGGACUGAGACACGGCCCAGACUCCUACGGGAGGCAGCAGUGGGGAAUAUUGCACAAUGGGCGAAAGCCUGAUGCAGCGACGCCGCGUGAGGGAUGACGGCCUUCGGGUUGUAAACCUCUUUCAGCAGGGAAGAAGCGAAAGUGACGGUACCUGCAGAAGAAGCGCCGGCUAACUACGUGCCAGCAGCCGCGGUAAUACGUAGGGCGCAAGCGUUGUCCGGAAUUAUUGGGCGUAAAGAGCUCGUAGGCGGCUUGUCACGUCGGGUGUGAAAGCCCGGGGCUUAACCCCGGGUCUGCAUUCGAUACGGGCAGGCUAGAGUGUGGUAGGGGAGAUCGGAAUUCCUGGUGUAGCGGUGAAAUGCGCAGAUAUCAGGAGGAACACCGGUGGCGAAAGGCGGAUCUCUGGGCCAUUACUGACGCUGAGGAGCGAAAGCGUGGGGAGCGACAGGAUUAGAUACCCUGGUAGUCACGCGUAAACGGUGGGAACUAGGUGUUGGCGACAUUCACGUCGUCGGUGCCGCAGCUAACGCAUUAAGUUCCCCGCCUGGGGAGUACGGCCGCAAGGCUAAAACUCAAAGGAAUUGACGGGGGCCCGCACAAGCAGCGGAGCAUGUGGCUUAAUUCGACGCAACGCGAAGAACCUUACCAAGGCUUGACAUACACCGGAAAACCCUGGAGACAGGGUCCCCCUUGUGGUCGGUGUACAGGUGGUGCAUGGCUGUCGUCAGCUCGUGUCGUGAGAUGUUGGGUUAAGUCCCGCAACGAGCGCAACCCUUGUUCUGUGUUGCCAGCAUGCCCUUCGGGGUGAUGGGGACUCACAGGAGACCGCCGGGGUCAACUCGGAGGAAGGUGGGGACGACGUCAAGUCAUCAUGCCCCUUAUGUCUUGGGCUGCACACGUGCUACAAUGGCCGGUACAAUGAGCUGCGAUACCGUGAGGUGGAGCGAAUCUCAAAAAGCCGGUCUCAGUUCGGAUUGGGGUCUGCAACUCGACCCCAUGAAGUCGGAGUUGCUAGUAAUCGCAGAUCAGCAUUGCUGCGGUGAAUACGUUCCCGGGCCUUGUACACACCGCCCGUCACGUCACGAAAGUCGGUAACACCCGAAGCCGGUGGCCCAACCCCUUGUGGGAGGGAGCUGUCGAAGGUGGGACUGGCGAUUGGGACGAAGUCGUAACAAGGUAACC